Molecule: long non-coding RNA, 650 nt
Organism: Acipenser ruthenus (sterlet)
Lineage: Eukaryota; Metazoa; Chordata; Actinopteri; Acipenseriformes; Acipenseridae
Exons: 3
Source: RefSeq, a predicted model, not a curated record
AAACGACAGAGAUACAGUAUCUAUCAAGUCACACAGCUCUCCGACUUGGAAGUUAGCGAAGGGGGUUAGCAACUGAUCCAGGUUUAUUAUAGAAAUGUCUUGUUUUUGCAACUGUAGUGAGUUUCAAAAAAGAACUGACACUAAUAUAGAAUAUUUAUUUCAACAAGUGACUCAACUUAAGGAAAUCCUGGGACGAGGCCAUGGAUGCCAAGACUGCAAGAUGAACAAAAAGAAGCUUGAAGAUGCAAUUCGGAUGGCAGACCAAUCCAAGAAAGAUCUAGAAGAUUUCAAGCAAAGGAUGAAAGUCAAGAUUUCCAAGGAGAUUGGUGUCAGGGGAGAUUUGUCAGAAAACAUCAAUGACCCCUGCAGAGAGACAGAGCUUCUGAAAAUGUAUGAGAUUCUGAAGAACCAAACCUGGGAACAAACAAAAGAAUGGAUAUUGAAUGGAAAACAUAUAGCCCCUAAACAUAUUUUUAAACUUGGAGCUCAGAUCAUAAAGGUUAGUUGUUGUUUCCUAAUUUUUUGCAAAUGCAUUACAAUUGGGUAUAUCAGUGUGCCCUUCUGUUUCUAUUACCUUGUUGAGUGUCUGUGCCUCACUGUUUUCAACGCAACAUCCAAAAAGUUUCUGUCAAUUCUGAUUGCGCAUCCAU